This 495-nucleotide ribosomal RNA is filed under the name uncultured bacterium. Its description in RNAcentral is "partial 16S ribosomal RNA". It matches the Rfam family "Bacterial small subunit ribosomal RNA", at positions 28 to 507 of the family's 1533-position model. The record is from RNAcentral.
GACGAACGCUGGCGGCGUGCCUAAUACAUGCAAGUAGAACGCUGAAGGGGGAGCUUGCUUCUCUGGAUGAGUUGCGAACGGGUGAGUAACGCGUAGGUAACCUGCCUGGUAGCGGGGGAUAACUAUUGGAAACGAUAGCUAAUACCGCAUAAGAGUAGAUGUUGCAUGACAUUUGCUUAAAAGGUGCAAUUGCAUCACUACCAGAUGGACCUGCGUUGUAUUAGCUAGUUGGUGAGGUAACGGCUCACCAAGGCAACGAUACAUAGCCGACCUGAGAGGGUGAUCGGCCACACUGGGACUGAGACACGGCCCAGACUCCUACGGGAGGCAGCAGUAGGGAAUCUUCGGCAAUGGACGGAAGUCUGACCGAGCAACGCCGCGUGAGUGAAGAAGGUUUUCGGAUCGUAAAGCUCUGUUGUAAGAGAAGAACGAGUGUGAGAGUGGAAAGUUCACACUAUGACGGUAUCUUACCAGAAAGGGACGGCUAACUACGUG